UAGGUGAUUGACAGGACCAUUUUGAGGGAC
This 30-nucleotide non-coding RNA is filed under the name Rattus norvegicus (Norway rat). Lineage: Eukaryota; Metazoa; Chordata; Mammalia; Rodentia; Muridae. The record is from RNAcentral.